Molecule: small nuclear RNA, 94 nt
Filed under: Rosa chinensis
Lineage: Eukaryota; Viridiplantae; Streptophyta; Magnoliopsida; Rosales; Rosaceae
Source: RNAcentral
AUCUCUUAGGAGAUGUUUGGAAUGAUACAAAGAUGAUUAGCAUGGCUUUUACACGAGAAUGACACGCAUAAAUAAAGAAAUAGUCAAGACUUUU